RNAcentral lists this ribosomal RNA (255 nucleotides) under uncultured bacterium. RNAcentral's name for it is "partial 16S ribosomal RNA". It matches the Rfam family "Bacterial small subunit ribosomal RNA", at positions 524 to 777 of the family's 1533-position model. The record is from RNAcentral.
CACGUAGGGGGCAAGCGUUGUCCGGAUUUAUUGGGCGUAAAGAGCUCGUAGGCGGUUCGGUAAGUCGGGUGUGAAACCUCCAGGCUCAACCUGGAGACGCCACCCGAUACUGCUGUGACUAGAGUCCGGUAGGGGAGCGUGGAAUUCCUGGUGUAGCGGUGAAAUGCGUAGAUAUCGGGAGGAACACCUGUGGCGAAGGCGGCCCCCUGGUUGGAUACUGACGCUGAUACGCGAAAGCGUGGGGAGCAAACAGGG